UACGAAGGGGGCUAGCGUUGCUCGGAAUUACUGGGCGUAAAGGGAGCGUAGGCGGACUGUUAAGUUAGAGGUGAAAGCCCAGGGCUCAACCUUGGAAUUGCCUUUGAUACUGGCAGUCUUGAGUACGGAAGAGGUAUGUGGAACUCCGAGUGUAGAGGUGAAAUUCGUAGAUAUUCGGAAGAACACCAGUGGCGAAGGCGACAUACUGGUCCGUUACUGACGCUGAGGCUCGAAAGCGUGGGGAGCAAACAGGAUUAGAUACCCCCGUAGUCC
This 273-nucleotide ribosomal RNA is filed under the name uncultured Caulobacter sp. RNAcentral's name for it is "partial 16S ribosomal RNA". It matches the Rfam family "Bacterial small subunit ribosomal RNA", at positions 524 to 796 of the family's 1533-position model. Lineage: Bacteria; Pseudomonadati; Pseudomonadota; Alphaproteobacteria; Caulobacterales; Caulobacteraceae. The record is from RNAcentral.